RNAcentral lists this ribosomal RNA (460 nucleotides) under uncultured bacterium. Its description in RNAcentral is "partial 16S ribosomal RNA". It matches the Rfam family "Bacterial small subunit ribosomal RNA", at positions 338 to 795 of the family's 1533-position model. The record is from RNAcentral.
CCUACGGGUGGCAGCAGUGAGGAAUAUUGGUCAAUGGGCGCGAGCCUGAACCAGCCAAGUAGCGUGAAGGAUGACUGCCCUACGGGUUGUAAACUUCUUUUAUAAAGGCAUAAAGUGAGGCACGUGUGCCUUUUUGUAUGUACUUUAUGAAUAAGGAUCGGCUAACUCCGUGCCAGCUGCCGCGGUAAUACGGGGGAUCCGAGCGUUAUCCGGAUUUAUUGGGGUUAAAGGGAGCGUAGAUGGGUUGUUAAGGCAGAUGUGAAAGUUUGCGGCUCAACCGUAAAAUUGCAAUUGAUACUGGCGGCCUUGAGUGCAGUUGAGGUAGGCGGAAUUCGUGGUGUAGCGGUGAAAUGCUUAGAUAUCACGAAGAACACCGGUUGCGAAGGCAGCUUACUAAGCUGCCACUGACAUUGAUGCUCGAAAGUGUGGGUAUCAAACAGGAUUAGAUACCCCAGUAGUC